This 274-nucleotide ribosomal RNA is filed under the name uncultured bacterium. RNAcentral's name for it is "partial 16S ribosomal RNA". It matches the Rfam family "Bacterial small subunit ribosomal RNA", at positions 523 to 796 of the family's 1533-position model. The record is from RNAcentral.
AUACGGAGGGUGCAAGCGUUACUCGGAAUCACUGGGCGUAAAGCGCGCGCAGGCGGUCUUUUAAGUUGGAUGUGAAAGCCUACGGCUCAACCGUAGAACUGCAUCCAAAACUAUUAGACUAGAGUGUGGGAGAGGAAGAUGGAAUUAGUUGUGUAGGGGUAAAAUCCGUAGGGAUAACUAGGAAUACCAAAAGCGAAGGCAAUCUUCUGGAACAUUACUGACGCUGAGGCGCGAAAGCGUGGGGAGCAAACAGGAUUAGAAACCCCGGUAGUCC